Molecule: transfer RNA, 75 nt
Filed under: Nanobdellota archaeon
Lineage: Archaea; Nanobdellati; Nanobdellota
Description: Nanoarchaeota archaeon tRNA-Arg
Rfam family: tRNA
About the family: Transfer RNA (tRNA) molecules are approximately 80 nucleotides in length. Their secondary structure includes four short double-helical elements and three loops (D, anti-codon, and T loops).
Source: RNAcentral
GGGCCCGUCGCCUAGCCAGGAUAGGGCACCAGGCUUCUAACCUGGCGGUCGUGGGUUCGAAUCCCACCGGGCCCA